GUGCCAGCCGCCGCGGUAAUACGAAGGGGGCUAGCGUUGCUCGGAAUUACUGGGCGUAAAGCGCACGUAGGCGGUUUCUUAAGUCGGGGGUGAAAUCCUGGAGCUCAACUCCAGAACUGCCUUCGAUACUGAGAGACUUGAGUCCUGGAGAGGAAGGCGGAAUUCUCGGUGUAGAGGUGAAAUUCGUAGAUAUCGAGAGGAACACCGGUGGCGAAGGCGGGUCUCUGGGCCGUAACUGACGCUGAGGAGCGAAAGCGUGGGGAGCGAACAGGAUUAGAAACCCUGGUAGUCC
This 292-nucleotide ribosomal RNA is filed under the name uncultured bacterium. Its description in RNAcentral is "partial 16S ribosomal RNA". It matches the Rfam family "Bacterial small subunit ribosomal RNA", at positions 505 to 796 of the family's 1533-position model. The record is from RNAcentral.